Molecule: long non-coding RNA, 1507 nt
Filed under: Vulpes vulpes (red fox)
Lineage: Eukaryota; Metazoa; Chordata; Mammalia; Carnivora; Canidae
Description: lncRNA (ENSVVUG00000018294.1)
Source: RNAcentral
UCCCUGUAUCUCUUUGAAGCAUGGAGUUUUGCCUAGGUUAUAAGUAUAACCAUUUUGGCCUGUUUUAUUUCCUGUUCUAGAUGUAUGAAGUCCUUCAGUGCAGAAAUCACAUUGCUAUUUUUGUGUGUGGGCCUCACGAACAUCAAGUAGUAUGUGCUCAGUAAAUGCUUGCUGAAAGAAUAAAUAAGAAAAGGACAAAUGAGCAGAAUAUAAAUUCCUCCAAAAGAUGGCCCUGCCAGUCUUUUCCAGAGGAGAGCCUGGCACAGAGUAGAAAACCACAGAAAAACGUAGCUCCCAACCUGGCACAAGAAAAAGCUGAAUAAUCUACAAAAUCCAACUUUCUAUGAGCCAAUCACAGACUGAUGUCACAAGACAACCAAUGAACUGAAUUCCAAAAAAGUGAUCAACCUCUUCAAAUGGAGACAAGACACACAAACUGUGUUUGACAGAGCAUGAGAGAAAGAAAUGUCCUCUGUUAAUGGAAUGCAUUCUGAAAGGCCAGAUGUAGGCUGGUGUGAAAAUUUAGAAUGACAAAAAGCCCCAGACACAAGAGGAACCUGUGCUUGUUCACAAGCAAUGUUUUAUGGACUUGCACUGGGGGCUUCCGAGAAUGACUGGGGGAAGGGCAAGACACCAGAGGAUCUCCCUCCAAGGUACAGGGAUGCUCGAGGCUAUUGACAGGCAUGGAAUGAGGAGCCAGGCAUGAAACUCCAUGUGUUUCCCUGAACCCUUGUCUCAUAUGAAACAAAGACUUAAGCCUCUGAAGGAAGGAUAGGAAAUCUUUCUGCCCGGGGCUUAGACAAAAUCCAUCGCUUUUUUGGGGGGGGGGAGCNUUUGGGGGGGGGGGGCGAAUAAUAGGAAAAUCUUUCUUUUCCUGGGGAGAGGAAGAAACCAUUUUUAGUUCCAGGAUCCUCCGUGGUUACGAGGUAGAAGCCUGCUAUCACUGGAGGAGAGGCAAGAAAUGAUCUCUUGUCCAAGAGCCUCCACAGACACAAGGAAGAGUUGGACUGUUAUUGCUGGGUGGGCAGCCACACAGAAAAUGCUCCACUCUUGAGCCCCAGAUGCACAGAGUAUGCAUAAGACUAAGGCUGGACUGGAAGAACCCAAAAUCCUCCUGUCCUCACUGUUAGCUUCGCAGUAAGUAACAAAUAAUAGCCUACUCCUCCUGAAAAGAGAUGCAACAGGUGGUGCAGGGAUACAGAGACUGCUGAAAACUGAAUAGAGUGAGAACAUUGAGGAAAACCUUACCACACCUUAGAUCUCCUUCCAAGCACAGGUUAGCAGCAGCCCAGUGAUGGAGAAACUUGAAGUCUGUGGUUGGUUGGCAACAACAAAACACGAAUCCAGAUCAGUGACCAUCUACAUGGACUCAAUCUGUUGCUCCUCUCACCAGUGGCCUGAUUCAAGAAAAGACAUAGCUAUUUCCAGGCAAAAAUAAUACUUGCCUCUGUCUCUAUCUCUCUAUACAUGAUGUCUGGCACAUAAUAAAAAAAUUAUGGGACAUACA